Molecule: ribosomal RNA, 232 nt
Filed under: uncultured bacterium
Lineage: Bacteria
Description: partial 16S ribosomal RNA
Rfam family: Bacterial small subunit ribosomal RNA
Source: RNAcentral
GAUCCUGGCUCAGGAUGAACGCUAGCUACAGGCUUAACACAUGCAAGUCGAGGGGCAGCAUGUAUCUGGCUUGCCAGAUAUGAUGGCGACCGGCGCACGGGUGAGUAACGCGUAUCCGACCUGCCGCACACUCCGGGAUAGCCUUGCGAAAGCAAGUUUAAUACCGGAUGCCGUAAUGGCGCCGCAUGGUGUUUUACGUAAAGGGAUUACCGGUGUGCGAUGGGGAGUGCGU